This is a long non-coding RNA of Passer domesticus (house sparrow), 708 nucleotides long. RefSeq lists it as uncharacterized. NCBI's taxonomy places the organism in Eukaryota, Metazoa, Chordata, Aves, Passeriformes, Passeridae. The transcript has 7 exons. The record is from RefSeq and is a predicted model, not a curated record.
CCAGCCUCUGUUCCAGGUCAGCCUCUCAAGGCUUCAGUUCUAUUAUGACUUCAAGGAAGUUAAAAGCUAGCAACAUAAAAGUGCAUCUGACUGUACUGUAUGUAGUUGUGCUACCUGUAACCUUGAGGGCACCUGCUCUCCCCCAGGAAAAUCACAGUCCAGAGUUUUGGUUAUCAGCUUUAAUUGCUCACUGUUGUAAUGAAAACCAGAUGAAACAAAAGGGCAAAUAAAAGGUGCAAAGCCUAAUGGAAUAAUGUUGGAAGGCUGUGGCAGAUGGAGGGACCCAAAUCAGAAAUCUGGGAACUCUGAUGCUGCUUCUUUUCUUGGGAGAUGGUGUGAAGGAGCAAUUUGAGAAAGCGUCAUGAAACAGGCCCAGAGAUGUGCAGAAGUUCUUGAAGCUGAGGAAACCUACUGCUUGCAAGAAAAAUCAAAUGGAAAACCCAUCCAGCCCAGCUUCCAUGGCAAGAGAAGCCCUUGGCUUACAGCUCAUGACAUCCAGAAGCGCUUGGUACUUGCAGGUGAUGGAUCUGGAAGGCACUGACUGGUGCCCAGGCCUCUGCAAGCAAUCCUUUCAAGGAAGCUCUUGUUAUUUUAUGUUCUUCAAGUGCUCCUUUGCUCUACCUUUUGUUUUCCCUCCACUCAUAUUAAGACAAAGAAAAAAGGGGAAUUACUGCUAAGCAGCAUAAUUAAAGUUUGAUUGUCUGUAAA